CAUUCCUUAGCAUGAGUCAAUGCCUGCACUGGAGAGAAAGCACUGAAGAGAAAGCACACUGCUCUGGACAUGGGCUCUAAAAUGGGUUUCUGCACAUGGAUCCAGAUGCACACAUGCUGGAGAAAGCAGCAUCAUGUCAUCCCAAACCAGAGGAAGGCAGGGGUGAAUCACAAUCC
RNAcentral lists this long non-coding RNA (176 nucleotides) under Zonotrichia albicollis (white-throated sparrow). RNAcentral describes it as "lncRNA (ENSZALG00000018139.1)". Lineage: Eukaryota; Metazoa; Chordata; Aves; Passeriformes; Passerellidae. The record is from RNAcentral.